UGGCGGCGUGCCUAAUACAUGCAAGUCGAACGGUCUUUCUAUGGAAGCUUGCUCCACUGAGAAGAUAGUGGCGAACGGGUGAGUAACACGUGGGUAACCUGCCCAUAAGAGGGGGAUAACAUCCGGAAACGGGUGCUAAUACCGCAUAGUUUUCUUGAUCGCAUGAUUGAGAAAGGAAAGACGGCCUUUGUGCUGUCGCUUAUGGAUGGACCCGCGGCGUAUUAGUUAGUUGGUGAGGUAACGGCUCACCAAGACGAUGAUACGUAGCCGACCUGAGAGGGUGAUCGGCCACAUUGGGACUGAGACACGGCCCAAACUCCUACGGGAGGCAGCAGUAGGGAAUCUUCCGCAAUGGACGAAAGUCUGACGGAGCAACGCCGCGUGAGUGAAAGAAGGUUUUCGGAUCGUAAAACUCUGUUGUCAGAGAAGAACAAGUUGGAGAGUAACUGCUCCAGCCUUGACGGUAUCUGACCAGAAAGCCACGGCUAACUACGUGCCAGCCGCCGC
This 507-nucleotide ribosomal RNA is filed under the name uncultured bacterium. RNAcentral describes it as "bacterial SSU rRNA". It matches the Rfam family "Bacterial small subunit ribosomal RNA", at positions 37 to 518 of the family's 1533-position model. The record is from RNAcentral.